GAUGAACGCUAGCGGCAGGCCUAAUACAUGCAAGUCGGACGGGAUUCAGGAGCUUGCUUCUGAUGAGAGUGGCGCACGGGUGCGUAACACGUAUGUAACCUACCUUUAUCAGGGGGAUAGCCUCUCGAAAGAGAGAUUAAGCCCGCAUAAAAUCACAGCACAGCAUUGUGUAAUGAUCAAAUAUUUAUAGGAUAAAGAUGGGCAUGCGGAACAUUAGCUAGAUGGCGGGGUAACGGCCCACCAUGGCGACGAUGUUUAGGGGAUCUGAGAGGAUGGCCCCCUACACUGGUACUGAGACACGGACCAGACUCCUACGGGAGGCAGCAGUAAGGAAUAUUGGUCAAUGGGCGGAAGCCUGAACCAGCCAUGCCGCGUGCAGGAAGACGGCCCUACGGGUUGUAAACUGCUUUUAUACGGGAAUAAACCCAGAUACGUGUAUCUGGCUGAAUGUACUGUAAGAAUAAGGAUCGGCUAACUCCGUG
Molecule: ribosomal RNA, 482 nt
Filed under: uncultured bacterium
Lineage: Bacteria
Description: partial 16S ribosomal RNA
Rfam family: Bacterial small subunit ribosomal RNA
Source: RNAcentral